Molecule: ribosomal RNA, 465 nt
Filed under: uncultured bacterium
Lineage: Bacteria
Description: partial 16S ribosomal RNA
Rfam family: Bacterial small subunit ribosomal RNA
Source: RNAcentral
ACGAACGCUGGCGGCGUGCUUAACACAUGCAAGUCGAACGAUGAAGCCCAGCUUGCUGGGUGGAUUAGUGGCGAACGGGUGAGUAACACGUGAGUAACCUGCCCUUAACUCUGGGAUAAGCCUGGGAAACUGGGUCUAAUACCGGAUAGGAGCGCCUACCGCAUGGUGGGUGUUGGAAAGAUUUAUCGGUUUUGGAUGGACUCGCGGCCUAUCAGCUUGUUGGUGAGGUAAUGGCUCACCAAGGCGACGACGGGUAGCCGGCCUGAGAGGGUGACCGGCCACACUGGGACUGAGACACGGCCCAGACUCCUACGGGAGGCAGCAGUGGGGAAUAUUGCACAAUGGGCGAAAGCCUGAUGCAGCGACGCCGCGUGAGGGAUGACGGCCUUCGGGUUGUAAACCUCUUUCAGUAGGGAAGAAGCGAAAGUGACGGUACCUGCAGAAGAAGCACCGGCUAACUACGUG